RNAcentral lists this ribosomal RNA (445 nucleotides) under uncultured bacterium. Its description in RNAcentral is "partial 16S ribosomal RNA". It matches the Rfam family "Bacterial small subunit ribosomal RNA", at positions 354 to 796 of the family's 1533-position model. The record is from RNAcentral.
GUGGGGAAUAUUGCGCAAUGGAGGCAACUCUGACGCAGCCAUGCCGCGUGCAGGAAGAAGGCGCUACGCGUUGUAAACUGCUUUUAACCGGGAAGAAACCCCAGGACGUGUCCUGGGUUGACGGUACCGGAGGAAUAAGCACCGGCUAACUUCGUGCCAGCAGCCGCGGUAAUACGAAGGGUGCAAGCGUUAUCCGGAUUCAUUGGGGUUAAAGGGUGCGUAGGCGGAGCGUUAAGUCAGUGGUGAAAUCCUGCAGCUUAACUGUAGACUUGCCAUUGAUACUGGCGCUCUUGAGUGCGCUUGAAGUGGGCGGAAUGUGCCGUGUAGCGGUGAAAUGCUUAGAUAUGGCACAGAACACCAAUUGCGAAGGCAGCUCACUAAGGCGAUACUGACGCUGAGGCACGAAAGCGUGGGGAUCGAACAGGAUUAGAUACCCGGGUAGUCC